AAUCAACGCUGGCGGCGUGCCUCAGACAUGCAAGUCGAACGAUUAAAGCUCUCUUCGGAGAGUGUAUAGAGUGGCGCACGGGUGAGUAACACGUAAGUAAUCUACCCUCGAGUGGGGAAUAACGUUCGGAAACGAACGCUAAUACCGCAUAAUGCAGCGGCACCGCAAGGUGACAGUUGUUAAAGGAGCAAUUCGCUUGAGGAGGAGCUUGCGGCAGAUAGCUUGUUGGUAAGGUAACGGCUUACCAAGGCUACGAUCUGUAUCCGGUCUUAGAGGACGGUCGGACACACUGACACUGAAUAACGGGUCAGACUCCUACGGGAGGCAGCAGUCGGGAAUUUUGGGCAAUGGGCGAAAGCCUGACCCAGCAACGCCGCGUGAGGGAUGACGG
Molecule: ribosomal RNA, 391 nt
Filed under: uncultured bacterium
Lineage: Bacteria
Description: bacterial SSU rRNA
Rfam family: Bacterial small subunit ribosomal RNA
Source: RNAcentral